GUGUUAUAUUAAAACUUUUACAAUUAAUCGUUCGUGCACAUGCAAAGGGGUUUUUGUUUUGUAAACGUAGACCAAUCUCUUGGCCUACAAGUGGUUCACAGGUUUUUGAAAGAAAUGGAUAGAAAAGGCGUGCACGUUGUCUCUGAGACCAGCAACAACCUCUCCUUGAGUAUUUCGAUAAUGAUCCUUCCGCAGGUUCACCUACGGAAA
Molecule: unclassified non-coding RNA, 210 nt
Filed under: uncultured fungus
Lineage: Eukaryota; Fungi
Description: sequence contains ITS1
Source: RNAcentral